GAGCAGAAUUGGGAUGCCGUAUACUGUCACGUCGAGCGGGAUUAAGUACAAGCUUGCUUCUACAUAAUCUAGCGGCGGACUUUUUAGUAACACGUAGGCAACCUGCCCACAAGACAGGGAUAACUACCGGAAACGGUAGCUAAUACCCGAUACAUCCUUUUCCUGCAUGGGAGAAGGAGGAAAGGCGGAGCAAUCUGUCACUUGUGGAUGGGCCUGCGGCGCAUUAGCUAGUUGGUGGGGUAAUGGCCUACCAAGGCGACGAUGCGUAGCCGACCUGAGAGGGUGAUCGGCCACACUGGGACUGAGACACGGCCCAGACUCCUACGGGAGGCAGCAGUAGGGAAUCUUCCGCAAUGGGCGAAAGCCUGACGGAGCAACGCCGCGUGAGUGAUGAAGGUUUUCGGAUCGUAAAGCUCUGUUGCCAGGGAAGAACGUCUUGUAGAGUAACUGCUACAAGAGUGACGGUACCUGAGAAGAAAGCCCCGGCUAACUACGUGCCAGCAGCCGCGGUAAUACGUACGGGGCAAGCGUUGUCCGGAAUUAUUGGGCGUAAAGCGCGCGCAGGCGGCUCUUUAAGUCUGGUGUUUAAUCCCGAGGCUCAACUUCGGGUCCCACUGGAAACUGGAGAGCUUGAGUGCAGAACAGGAAAGUGCAAUUCCAAAUGUAGCG
Molecule: ribosomal RNA, 669 nt
Filed under: Paenibacillus sp.
Lineage: Bacteria; Bacillati; Bacillota; Bacilli; Caryophanales; Paenibacillaceae
Description: bacterial SSU rRNA
Rfam family: Bacterial small subunit ribosomal RNA
Source: RNAcentral